UACGUAGGGUGCGAGCGUUAAUCGGAAUUACUGGGCGUAAAGCGUGCGCAGGCGGUUCGUUGUGUCGGUGGUGAAAUCCCCGGGCUUAACCUGGGAAUGGCAUUUGGGACUGCAAGGCUUGAGUGCGGCAGAGGAGACUGGAAUUCCUGGUGUAGCAGUGAAAUGCGUAGAUAUCAGGAGGAACACCGAUGGCGAAGGCAGGUCUCUGGGCUGACACUGACGCUCAUGCACGAAAGCGUGGGGAGCAAACAGG
RNAcentral lists this ribosomal RNA (253 nucleotides) under uncultured bacterium. Its description in RNAcentral is "partial 16S ribosomal RNA". It matches the Rfam family "Bacterial small subunit ribosomal RNA", at positions 524 to 776 of the family's 1533-position model. The record is from RNAcentral.